ACCAUCCAGAGAGGUCGUGCGUAGUCUCCACUUCUACCCACUGUCGCAAGAGACCGAAAGAGCAGGCCGCCGCUCCUGUGACCAACACGGAGUUUCAGGGUGAGCGGACUGCUCUGGUCCCGAGUCCCAGGGGGAUGUCAUAUGAAUGAAAAUAAGCAUAUGUCUCCAGAUCCCAAAGCCAGAAUUUUCAAGCUAAUGAUAAAGGAAAUCAGGAGGAAGAUGCUAAAGGACCUGCGGAAUUAUGAAUGAUGUAUGCCAAGUAUAAUUGGAUGUUUCCUAGAACCUGAAAAUACAAUGGAACUAUUUGGAGCUUAACACUAUGGGACCUGCACAAGCCAGGACACUUCAUGAUCAAAUAACAGAAAAAUAUGCAGAGUGUGUCAGGGAUAUACAUUGACAACAAAUGAAGUAAGUUUAUGAAACUGGAAAAUUUGCUGAUCACUCCAGAAAUUAUCAGCAAAUUGGGGAGAGAACUGAGCUAAUAUAUACCUUCCAAAUAUGCCAACAAUACCAAAUGGAGAAAGAUAUCAAUUAAUAUAAUUACAGUCUUCUUAAUCUGCUAAGUAAUCAGUGUCUACCACCUUUCAAGUCACUUCAGGUCCCUGGAUCCUAGAUCCUUGUCAUCCUUCCUUAAGGGCACAUCUCUACACCAUUCCCUUCCCAGGAGAGCAGGUGCAGCUGUGGUUUACAGAGAGACAAUUCUCCACCAGCCUUUGCUGACCAACAGGCAACACACAACAUGCUUUUAUGAAGGACAAAAGACUGUUGUCUUCUGGGGCCUGUCUGCACUUUUACACAGUGAGCACCUGUAUUUUAUGUGAUAAGCAAACUCUCACUUCUCACCUAUAAGCAGGUAUAUAGAUCACAAAUGGAUGAAUUCCAAGGUCUAGGCUUUGUAGGAAUUAGGAUGCAUUUCAUUCUCUGUAAUGCAGCUCUAACAGUAAUAUGGCUGAAAUCAUGAGCCCUUAGACUCAGGUUUCUGUUGCUGUAUUUUAUUGACCAGAACCCUGGAGGAGAAAAGAGAUGAGUGAGUUACAAACUUUUUUCAUGUGCCUGGAGCUAUGUGCCUGAAUCAGGUGGGCACUCAACAAAUGUUAGUUCCUCUUCGUCUCCUUGAGGAAUUUAAAUUGAAAAUAUGUUCAGUUUCCUGUUAAACUCCUCUUAUCAGAAGAGCAGCAUAGUAGCAUUUUUUCCUGAUAACAGUGCUACUAAAUGUUUAUUUCAGUGGCAUUAUACAAUUUCCAUUUGCAAGUUUCAGACACCCUUUGCUAUACCUAAAAUAAAGCCUUUAUGGGCAACUUCAGGCAACAGAUUAGUUAGAGACCUGAUGAGGUUUUCAUUAGGAGGAAGUUGUUCUUUGCCUCCUACUAAAGCUAUCUUGUGGUAAAAUAUCUUAAACCCUAAUUAUACCUUAGAGCCUAAAAUUCAACUCUCAAGAAUAUUUUUUAUGGUAAGAAAUCUAAAACAGCAAAGGUUUUCUGGAGCAUGAUAUUUAUAUCAACAUUACUUAUAUUGUGGACAAUCUGGGGAAAAGCUUAAAAGCUGGAAAUAACUAUAGUAUGACUGGCUACAUAAAUUAUA
Molecule: long non-coding RNA, 1581 nt
Organism: Talpa occidentalis (Iberian mole)
Lineage: Eukaryota; Metazoa; Chordata; Mammalia; Eulipotyphla; Talpidae
Exons: 8
Source: RefSeq, a predicted model, not a curated record